CCUACGGGUGGCUGCAGUGAGGAAUAUUGGUCAAUGGGCGCGAGCCUGAACCAGCCAAGUAGCGUGAAGGAUGACUGCCCUACGGGUUGUAAACUUCUUUUAUAAAGGAAUAAAGUUCGGCACGUAUACCGUUUUGUAUGUACUUUAUGAAUAAGGAUCGGCUAACUCCGUGCCAGCAGCCGCGGUAAUACGGAGGAUCCGAGCGUUAUCCGGAUUUAUUGGGUUUAAAGGGAGCGUAGGUGGGUGGUUAAGUCAGUUGUGAAAGUUUGCGGCUCAACCGUAAAAUUGCAAUUGAUACUGGCAGUCUUGAGUACAGUUGAGGUAGGCGGAAUUCGUGGUGUAGCGGUGAAAUGCUUAGAUAUCACGAAGAACUCCGAUUGCGAAGGCAGCUUACUAAACUGUAACUGACACUGAUGCUCGAAAGUGUGGGUAUCAAACAGGAUUAGAUACCCGUGUAGUC
Molecule: ribosomal RNA, 460 nt
Filed under: uncultured bacterium
Lineage: Bacteria
Description: partial 16S ribosomal RNA
Rfam family: Bacterial small subunit ribosomal RNA
Source: RNAcentral